AAAAGAAACCAACAGGGAUUGCCCUAGUAACGGCGAGUGAAGCGGCAACAGCUCAAAUUUGAAAUCUGGCGUCUUUGGCGUCCGAGUUGUAAUUUGCAGAGGGCGCUUUGGCAUUGGCAGCGGUCCAAGUUCCUUGGAACAGGACGUCACAGAGGGUGAGAAUCCCGUACGUGGUCGCUAGCCUUUACCGUGUAAAGCCCCUUCGACGAGUCGAGUUGUUUGGGAAUGCAGCUCUAAAUGGGAGGUAAAUUUCUUCUAAAGCUAAAUACUGGCCAGAGACCGAUAGCGCACAAGUAGAGUGAUCGAAAGAUGAAAAGCACUUUGGAAAGAGAGUUAAAAAGCACGUGAAAUUGUUGAAAGGGAAGCGCUUGCAGCCAGACUUGCCUGUAGUUGCUCAUCCGGGUUUUUACCCGGUGCACUCUUCUAUAGGCAGGCCAGCAUCAGUUUGGGCGGUUGGAUAAAGGUCUCUGUCACGUACCUCCUCUCGGGGAGAACUUAUAGGGGAGACGUAAUGCAACCAGCCUGGACUGAGGUCCGCGCAUCUGCUAGGAUGCUGGCGUAAUGGCUGUAAGCGGCCCGUCUUGAAACACGGACCAAGGAGUCUAACAUCUAUGCGAGUGUUUGGGUGUCAAGCCCGAGCGCGUAAUGAAAGUGAACGGAGGUGGGAACCUUUCGGGGUGCACCAUCGACCGAUCCUGAUGUCUUCGGAUGGAUUUGAGUAAGAGCAUAGCUGUUGGGACCCGAAAGAUGGUGAACUAUGCUUGAAUAGGGUGAAGCCAGAGGAAACUCUGGUGGAGGCUCGCAGCGGUUCUGACGUGCAAAUCGAUCGUCAAAUUUGGGCAUAGGGGCGAAAGACUAAUCGA
RNAcentral lists this ribosomal RNA (863 nucleotides) under Boeremia exigua. RNAcentral's name for it is "LSU rRNA". It matches the Rfam family "Eukaryotic large subunit ribosomal RNA", at positions 57 to 938 of the family's 3401-position model. Lineage: Eukaryota; Fungi; Ascomycota; Dothideomycetes; Pleosporales; Didymellaceae. The record is from RNAcentral.